UCAGACGAUGCGUCAUGCAUAUCAAUAAGCGGAGGAAAAGAAACUAACAAGGAUUCCCCUAGUAACGGCGAGUGAAGCGGGAAGAGCUCAAAUUUGAAAUCUUAAAGGGUUUCCCUUUACGAAUUGUAGUUUAAAGAAGUGUUUUCUGUUGAGGUUUUGGUAAAAGUUCUUUGGAAUAGGACAUCAUAGAGGGUGAGAAUCCCGUAUUUGACCUUUACUUUCAACUUUGUGAUACACUUUCAAAGAGUCGGAUUGUUUAGGGAAUGCAGUCCGAAAUGGGUGGUAAAUUUCAUCUAAAGCUAAAUAUUGGCGAGAGACCGAUAGCGAACAAGUACCGUGAGGGAAAGAUGAAAAGAACUUUGAAAAGAGAGUUAAACAGUACGUGAAAUUGUCAAAAGGGAAGCGUUUGACACCAGUGUUGUUUUUCUGAAAAUCAAUUAAAGAACUGUUUAUGCUAAGCUGUUUAGACUUUAUCAGCUAUCUGUUUAGUUUUGAGCUUUUCUUUAAUGCACUUUUCAGUUAACAAGUCAACAUCAAUUUCUUUUGCUGUAAAAAAGCUUGAGGAAGGUGGCUUGAGAUUCGUCUUAAGUGUUUAUAGCCUCUUGCCUAUGCAGUCGGAGAGAUUGAGGUCUGCAGCGUAGAUCCUUCGGGGCUAAAUGCAUUUGUGCUAAGUUAUAACAUUUUAUAGACAACUUGUUGACUAUGAUUUGUCUUGUAGCUUACUCGCUUAUGUUAUUUUACCUACGCUUAGGAUGUUGAAGAUGUACACAUCAU
This 774-nucleotide ribosomal RNA is filed under the name uncultured Neocallimastigales. Its description in RNAcentral is "partial large subunit ribosomal RNA". It matches the Rfam family "Eukaryotic large subunit ribosomal RNA", at positions 18 to 635 of the family's 3401-position model. Lineage: Eukaryota; Fungi; Neocallimastigomycota; Neocallimastigomycetes; Neocallimastigales. The record is from RNAcentral.